This is a long non-coding RNA of Poecilia reticulata (guppy), 3014 nucleotides long. RefSeq lists it as uncharacterized. Lineage: Eukaryota; Metazoa; Chordata; Actinopteri; Cyprinodontiformes; Poeciliidae. The record is from RefSeq and is a predicted model, not a curated record.
UGCUCUGGUUUAAAAAGACGCUCACACCGUUACUAGAACUUUUUGCCAAACCAAUCAUUCAAACCCUAUAUUUUUUUUUUUAAAGUUUUUCCUUUAUGAGUAGCAUUUGCAUACAAAUUAAAAUCUGUAAUGUCAUGAACAAGCAUAUAGAAAAGUAUGAUUAUCCAAAAUAUACAAUAAAAAUGCAGCUAUUUCUAAUUAGAAAAUGUUUGAAAUGAUGUGCCAAUGUUAUUAUAUUAUUAAAAGCUUAACUAAAUAAAUGCUUACCUUUGGAAGAGGUUUAGGGCCACGGAAAAAAAGUCAGAAUUCUGACUUUAAUCUCAAAAUUCUGAUUUUCUUUCUCAGAAUUCUGAUUUUAAUUUAAAAUAAUGCUGGUGUUAACUAAAUGUUAUGGGGUCCUACAAUUCCUUUCCAUGGUUUACCACCUCAUAAUACUUUUCACACUUUUAUCAGUGACUUAUGACUUUCCAACAAUCUGAUUCUGCUUAUAAAUUAUUAGCCUCAACUGACUAAACAACUUUUCAAUGAAAAGUUUUGAGUUGAUUCUUUCAAUUUAUUUGCAUUUCAUUGCUUACUACGUUUUCUACUGAAAUUCUCAAUUAUUCUUAUUUCUAAAAACAUCUCAGAACAUGUUCAUUAAUUCCACAUGCCGUCAUUAUUCCUGUGUUAUCCCAGUGUUUUUCUGACUACAUGCUAGCUUAGUGUUAGCUUCCCGAUCCCCUAGUGUGCAGAGGAAGCUACAAACUACUUUAGUGUGUAGCUUUCCCACACUCUAAAAAAAAUGUGUUAAAAAAGAACACAAAAAAUGUUAUUACAUUAAUAUUGUGUUAAAAUGAAUACAAUAGUAUUGAAUAUUUCAACACAUAAUUGUGUCUGUGUUUGUCAGGCAGAAUUUACUCCCUGCUGACAUAAGAUUGUGUAAUUCCUUUCAAUGAUAGUUUCCAGAAUUUUUUUUUUUCUAAAAUGGUUUUACAUUUUUUUUGUUUAGCAUUUAUAACAAUGUUUACUUCAUCUAAAAAUGCAAUUAUUAUUACUGUAUUGUGGCAGGAUUUAAUUACUUUUAUACAAUGCAGUACAAAAAUAUUUUUGUACUGCAUUGUAUAUUUACUCAUCUUCAAAGUAAUAUGCAUUAUACAUUUCGAUUAUUUACAUAAUUUUGUUUGCUAAAAAACAGAAUUCUUCAACAUUUACAAUAAAUAUAAUUAGAAAUGGCUAUGAGCUACAAAAAUUUAGCUGAUAACCUCACAUUGGCUGAUAAGCAAGUGGCAACAUCAAGGCACCAUAACUACCAAUUCAGCCACCAAAUUAAGUCUUCUGAUUGGAGGAAGGUUUUUCCGCAAUAUGGAUCAAGUUGACAAACGAGGCAAAGAUUGAAGCCACUAAUUUUGGAAUAACCACUUUGGUAUGUAUAUACCUUGUAUUUGUUUUAAUGAAUUGGUAUCAAGUUAGAUUUAUGGGAAUUUUCUUGAAUAACUAGUUGUAAAAGUAUUAUGGUAAUUUUUGUUGCUAUGACAGGGUACUCUGAAAUGUUAUGCUGGGUUUCAUGUCAAAGCUAGCUAGCAUAUUAUUAUGGCAAAGACAGGUGGUGGGUUGCCUUUGAAUUGAAAAUGGUCCUUAUUUGUGUAGUUAAUGCAAUUAUGGGCUAAUUAACCCUUUAUGUCCCAUUGCAAGUUGGUGCAUUUUUUUCGUUCCAAGUUAAAGGUCUCUGCCUCUUUAAGAAAUGCUAAAAGUAACAGUUGGAGUAGUUAACAGCUGUUGGUAGCACUGUGGUGUUCUGUGAUCCGGUGGAGCCAAGGGGAAAAAAGCAGGAGCAAUCGUUUUAUUCUCAUCCAGUACAGUAGUAUCAACUUUCCCUGUCGUUUCUUCGUUGUGAAGACUUCAAGCUAAACCCGAUCUUUACGCUUGUGAUCUUAUUUUAUUUUAUGAAUUACUAAAAUGGAAUUCUGUAGAUUUUUCUCCCAGUUAUCUUCAUAAUGCAGACAGGCUGAAUGAAUAUUAAUGGUUUCAGGGCGUCAAAUCUGCUGGACUCAGUUUGGAAGGCUAACGGGUGAACAGGCAGACUUAUUUCUUCGUACAUGGGAAGCCGACAUGUACCAAAACUCAAAGACAUGAACAAAGAUCUACUACCUCCUGUUGGUGCAAGUCAUCUUGGCAUCAAGACUACAAUGACAUACCUUCUGGAUUUUGUGGUGAUUAACAUUGCUCUGCUUCAAGAAGUCAUCAUCCCCACAUGAUCUACAUCUGUGACCUGAAUAAAGAUUGUCCUCAGUUAUAGAAGGCUAAGAAAUUUGACUGCUUUUAUGUUAUUCUUAACAUAAAAGAAUAACAGAGGGAUUGGUGACACAUUAUGACACCAAUACCAAGAACCACAAAGUCAUCCUCACCAAGAAUAACUAAGUCACCAUCCCUCUACAUCUGGUCUCAUGAAUGCUAUGGACAAGUUUUUCAAACUCUCCUUGGUGCGUCCUGACCACCACAACUCUACCCCCGUCUUUACGUUACAUAUUUACAAUAAACUGUUUUCCAUACGAAGUAAAGUACAAGUACUGGAACUGAUUGGACAAUCAGAAGCUGGCAAGUAAAAUGUUCAAUUGUCCAAAACGUAAAGACUGCUUUCGAAGAGGUGUGGGGCUUCAAGAUACAAUAUCUUGUACUUUGGUUGACGACUACUGGACUGUAAAUGCAUGUUUCCAUUUGACUGCAAAACAGAUUGUUAUUUCUCAUCAGCUCUUUUGUAGCCAAGUGUUUUUUGUACCUGUUCACAGAAUGUUAUGAAAAAUAUAUGAUACAGAGAGUAAGGAUUUUAAAACCUGUGGUGUUAAAAUCCUUAACACCACAGGUUAAGGAUUUAGUAACUUUUCUUCAAAGUUAGCUCGACUUUGAAGACAAUAACAUGUUGACUGGUGAACUAAUUGAUUAUAUGAUUUUUACUUGUGCAUAUGAUUUACAUAUUGUGGCUGUCGUAAAACAUUUUUGUAACAUGUAUUUAAUUUUAAUAAACGUAUGCAUCUUUA